Molecule: long non-coding RNA, 700 nt
Filed under: Homo sapiens (human)
Lineage: Eukaryota; Metazoa; Chordata; Mammalia; Primates; Hominidae
Description: HSALNT0180266
Source: RNAcentral
GAAGAGCAAAUGCUGCAGUUAGGAGAAGCUGGGGAGGGGGCCGUGUGCGGACCUCUAGGUCAGAGCAGUCCAGCGAUCUCUGAUUCACAUGAGAGCAGAGCCGCCUUGGCAGUGGGAAAAUGGAUGAUGCACUGCAGCAUAAACAAACAAGCUUCUCAAAGAAUGGGUCACAUGUCAAGAGAACUGAAAAACAAGAGCGGGCAGGCUCUGAAGCAAGUCCUGUGAAGAAUUUUCUAAUGAAGAGAGAGGCUACUUCCUGGAAAGCCGUCAGGGUUGUAUAGAAAGUUUGCUGUGAAGCACUGUUCAAAAUGCUCUUUUUUGGUGAAGUUGGGCCUAUAGUCAGCUUAUUCUCUCCAUGGCAACCCACUGGGGACAGGCUGGGUCAGAGGUAGGCACCCAGACGUCAUGUCCAUCUGAGUCAUCCAAGGGAGCUGAGAGGCAAAGAAGACAGAGCUAUGGCUCUGGUGCUUUACCUUGGAGUGAAGGGGACACCCAGUGGAAUAGCAAAGAUGUGGCUCCAGUGAAAAUUCAAUCCAAACUUUGACUUUGGGGACAUCAUGACCACACUACCAAAAGUCAAUCUGUGUUGCCUCAGGUUCUUCAUGUUUGACCACUUUUUGGAGUUGUGUAGAUUAAUUUGAAUGUCAGUAGGAUAAUAGAAUAGUUACAGAUAUUAAAAUAAAAAUCUGUUAUAAUAGCA